This 60-nucleotide transfer RNA is filed under the name Otolemur garnettii (small-eared galago). It matches the Rfam family "tRNA", at positions 7 to 64 of the family's 71-position model. Rfam says of the family: Transfer RNA (tRNA) molecules are approximately 80 nucleotides in length. The record is from Rfam by way of RNAcentral. Lineage: Eukaryota; Metazoa; Chordata; Mammalia; Primates; Galagidae.
GUGGCUCAAGGAGUAGGGCGCUGGUCCCAUAUACCAGUGGUAGCGGGUUCAAACCCUGCC